Antechinus flavipes (yellow-footed antechinus) is the source of this 4721-nucleotide long non-coding RNA. RefSeq lists it as uncharacterized. The transcript has 2 exons. Lineage: Eukaryota; Metazoa; Chordata; Mammalia; Dasyuromorphia; Dasyuridae. The record is from RefSeq and is a predicted model, not a curated record.
AUAAAAAUACUAGAGUUGGAAACUGUUUUGAUUGCGUUCAUUGUACUUACCUUUUGGAAACAUAGCUAAGUAAAAGUGUUGCCAUUCUGGAAUUAGACAAUAGAUCAUUUAAUACUGAAUCUUGGAUCUGAGAUUGGCCCUGGUCAGUUGCUUUUAAUGAAGGUGUAAAUACUACAUAACAGUAUGAAUUGUUCAGUACUGGAUAACAAACCUGGGAAACACUACACCAAAGGGAAAUUUUUCUUCCUGACCCCAGCUGGUGAUCAGUUUGUGCCUGGAAGUUGGACAGCCUUUGUAAUCUAAUCCUAGUUGGCAUAACUGCAGAUGCUAAUUUUAGGUCUAUAAAUAGCAAAUCUUUUUUUAAAUGUUGUUUUUGGAGAAAGGAGUUUGAAUUUUUUUUUCCAAAAAGCCAUUUACUGUAUGAUUUCUACAGGUUAAUUAUAUAUUGCAUGAAAAAGCAUCUCCUUGGAGCCUUCCUAAAUUUGUUACCUUUUAAUUUCAUUUCAUAUGACAAAAAAGGGGAAAUGAGAGCACCUAGCUGACCAUCCAAGUUAUCAUUUAUUAUUUUGAAUAUUGCCACCUUUAGUUUUUUUCACCCUCAUUCAUUUACUCAUUUCCUAGAGAAGCAAAACAGCCUUAGUUUUUAUUCAUUUCUCAUCUUGGAGAAGGGUUUCUUUGCUUCUUAUUUCAUUUCUUCUUUAGAAUAUCUUUCCAGUCAUUUCAUAUUACUUCUCUUUCCUCAUUCACUCUUUAUUCUUCUAGAUCUUCCUAGUGUAUGUUAUUCUAUCACCUACCUCCAUGCUUCUGUACUUGUAGAUCCUCAUGCUUAUAAGCACUCGUUACUCACUUCCACCUUGUGGAAUUUUGUUUUCUUUAUUUAUAUCAUGUCUCAGUGUCACUUCUUUCAUUACAUGAGAUCUUUUCUGAUCUUAAUCUCUACAUAUUGAAAUUACUUUAUAUAAACUUAAUUGUCACUUAUUUGUAUUCAAGCUUUCUUCCAAUAACACAUAGGCUGCUUGAGUGUAGAGACUAUUUAAUUUAUGUCUUUGAAUCUCCAGCACCCAACAUAGCACUUUGCACACAGUAAUUAUGUAAUAAAUGUUUUUUGAAAUGACUUGAAUAACCACUAUUUGUUUGCAUCCCAAUUUAUUGCCUGGAUAUAGACCUUUACUAAUUAUGACAUUUCUUUCCUCAGAUAAAAUGACCUAAUUGGGCUCUCUGUUUUAUGGACAGAACAAACCAUAAUUUCUGUAUCCUUUCUUAAUUCUCUCUAAUUUUUUUAUUACAAGUACCAAAGCUUGUUCUAAAUUUGAAAUUGUUUAAACAGUCAUAUCUUCCUCUCACCCAAGGGUGACAAAAAAGGAACUCUUUACUCUGAAAGAUCCAGUAUAUUAACUGAAUUCUGGGGAAGAAGUAAGUGAAAUGUGUAUUUGUCAAAGAUUAGGACACAGAAAUUAAGGCAAAGUGGCUGGUUCAUAUAGUCCUUGUUCAGCCUAGAUGCUUUUUGUUUGACUCUUCAUGACUCCAUUUGAUUUAUUUGCUUUUUGUAAAGAUUUUGAGGUCUUUGCCAUUUCCUUUUCCAGGUUACUUUACAGAUAAGGAAACUGAGGCAAAUAGGAUUAAAUGACUUGCUCAGGGUCACACAACCAACAAGUGUCUGAGACUGGAUUUGAACUCAGGAAAAUGAAUCUUCCUGAUUGCAAGCACUUGUUAUCCACUGUUUCACCUAGCUGUCUAGUGUGGUCCUUAGACAUUCAUUAAAGAGCAUCUGGCAAGAAAGAAGGUUGCUAAGGCAGACUGUUUUAAAGUAGUGGGUUAACAGGCAGGAGAUCUGAAUUCCAGUCUUCUCUCUAUCUGUCUUCUAUCUAUCUGACUGAGCAAGUCACUUUAUCUCUCUAAUACUUAGUUUCCUCACAGAGGUAAUGUAAAUUUAUUUCAUGGGAUUGGAAUCAGGAAGAUCUGGGUUUGCAUCUCACCUACCACUUACAAGCACUGUGACUCUGAACUAGUUACUUAACCUCUCUGAGGUUAUAUAAAUGAAUUUAGGUUAUAUAAGUGAAUUUAAGUUAUAGAAGUGGAAAUACCACUUAUAAUAUAUAAUAGCAUUGCUGUAGGCUUAAAUGAGAUUAAAAGGUAUCUUAAAUACUUUUUAAAGGUAAAGUCAUGAAGAAAUGCCAACUUAUUUAUUGUCAUUAUUAUUAUUUAUCUUAAUUCCAAAUUAAAAAUUUUUUUUUGGUUACAUUUUAAGUUUUUCUCUCCUUUCCUACUCCAUACUAUAGAAUGCCACCAUUUUGACACAAACUUAUAAAUAUAUGUAAAACUACAGUAUAUAUACUUUAAAAAAUUGCUGUUGAAUUUGUUGAGUCAUCACUAUUAAGAAUCAUUUUUGCCUUCCUAAUUCAACUUGCAACUAUAUCUUGUCCCAUCACCGAAGAGGAGAAGAAUAGAGAAGGGGAAGAAAUAAAAGUCUAACAUCUAUGCAGGUUUAUCCUUGAAUGUGGAAGGAGAAAGAUUCUUUGCAACUUUGAACCAAGAUGGUACCCAAUCUAUCACCCUUAGCAAUUGGACUUAUCAUAUGGAAGACCAGCUUACACAUCUCCCAUUUUGUUAUUGUUUACCACACCGGUCCCAAAAGUUAGACCAGCAGAAUGAUCUCUAGAUGUGAGGAGAAGGCCCUUCUCUCAACACCCUGUCCUACCUGACUGUAUUAGAGCCACUGCUGGAACAUGGAGACUCUCUUAUCUUCACCUGCAGCUCCCACCUAGUCAUCCAUGUUAUCUUCUGAUGUUCCUGAAAACUUUGCUGCUUUAAGAAAUGUAAUUUGGUUCACUGAAUGAAAAACAUAAUCAUAGCAAGACUUAACACUUUAGAUAGAUAGCACUUUUCUUUUAUGAGGAAUUUAAAAACAUUACCUAAUUAGUUUAACUUUCCUUUAAAGGGGUCAAUUUUUGAUUGCAAUUUGCCACAAAGUAUGCUGGGUGUUCCUUCUUUGAACACAUUAUUCCUUUAGCAGGUGUUCAAUUGAAAAACCAUUGCUAUAUUUGCUAAAGGUUUUUUUCUUUCUUUUUUAAUGGAGAAAACAUAUCUUCCCAAUAUACGCUGUCAAAUCCCAUUGUGUUGCUUUGUUCUUCAUUGCCAUUGUAUAUACUUCCAAGUAGAAUCAGGAAAGAGAUAUUCCACUUAGUUCCCUAAUACCUUGGAAGUAAAUCAGGCCACUCUGGAAACUGCUUUCAUUCUCUUGGGACAUUAGGCUGUUAUGAGGAAGCAUUUGUUUGUUUCAUAACAUCCUAAUGACUGAAGAUUUUUAGUUAGAUUUCAAAGAUACAAAAUUAAUGAUGUGUAAGUUAUUCUAUUUUGGGAACAAAUAUAUUCAGCAUUUGGUGAGGUAGAAUCAUUGGUAAUACUAUAGAAAACUAAGCACACACCAUAAAUUUAAGAAAUAAAUGCUUUCUUGAGAAUCAGGAAAUUUAGGUUAUAAUCUUGACUUAUAUGACUUAUAUGACCUUGGACGUCCUUUUUCACCUUCAUUUUCUUCAUUUGUAAAAUAAAUAAAUUGUUCAUUAGACAGGUUGCACAUGAAUUUUAUGUAACUCAUGUAGGAAUGCUUUCAAGUAGGUUUUACAUGGGGGCAUAAUCUUCUUUUUCUUUCUAAAUUAUGCCCCAUUGAAGAAGUAUUGUUAAAUAAUGGGAACCACUGACUUUGAAGUGAGGGUACCUGAAUUUGAGUUGUGGUUCUCAAAAUCUUAUCAGUUAUAUGACUAUAGUUAAAUUACUGGUAUAAGGUCUCAGCUUUCCCAUACGUAAAAUGGGAAUAAUAAAUGCUUUGCAAAUUUGAAGUUCUAUUAUCAAUAAGUAAUGUACCAUGUGAAUGCAAGUCCUCAGGUUUUAGCCAUUUCUGGAAGUCUGAUCAAGGUGAAUAUCAUUUCAAAUGAAUAGAGCUACUCUAGCACUCAUUCUAGCAUUCUCAGGGAGUGCCAUGCUAUACCUGAUGCAUCACUCUCUCUAACAAUGGCUUUUAGAAGAAUUUCAUUGAAUGCCUCUCAGGUUGAGUGAUUCUGUCCUGUCCAAGACUUAAGUGGAGAUUCCAUUCCGGAGGGUAUAAGAGAGGCUUUUAUACUUCUGAAACUUGAUAGAAUAUUUUUUGAACCUCAUAUUGAUGGAAGGAGAAGAACUGGUAAAUUGUUUUGGCUUUAAAAUGGUUAUAAUUAAAUCCAGUCAUUCACAUUUUUCAAAUGCAUUAAAUUUAUGAGGAAACAAAGCAGAAGUCCUCUUCUAUUAAGCCUCUAACUUCCCUCACCUUGGCUAAAGAUCUCUCACCAUAAAGAGAAAAACCAAAUGUAUUUCUCCCUCUGGGGAGUAUGUCUCUUCAGCACAGCUCUGGAUUCUAGAGAAAAUAAUUAGAUUGCUAGUCACAGACUUAACAAUUCACUUCAGGCAAUAGGACGCAGUGAACAACAAACACCACCUCUUUGGUGUUAAAUUAGAUGGUGGUUAUAAUUGAAAUCCCUACCUUUUGAUUAGAAUUUCAUUGGUUUGAAGUUUUAUCUCUUCCCUUUAUUUGAUUUCUUGUGAAAUCAUUUUAAUUAUGAAAUCAACAAACAUUGACAUUUUAUAUGUAUAGAAUAAAAAGGAUUAUAUGUGAAACUGUACAUUUCUAUUAGUUUAAAAAGCAUGUAUUAAAUUUAAUAAAGAAUAAACAAAAAUGCCCUGCUUGUCUGUGA